CGUAGGGUGCGAGCGUUAAUCGGAAUUACUGGGCGUAAAGUGUGCGCAGGUGGCCGCGCAUGUCGAGUGUGAAAUCCCCGGGCUUAACUUGGGAAUUGCGCUCGAAACUACGUGGCUGGAGUGUGGCAGAGGAAGGUGGAAUUCCAGGUGUAGCGGUGAAAUGCGUAGAGAUCUGGAGGAACACCGAUGGCGAAGGCAGCCUUCUGGGCCAACACUGACACUCAUGCACGAAAGCGUGGGGAGCAAACAGGAUUAGAUACCCUGGUAGUCCACGCCCUAAACGAUGAUGGCUAGUUGUUGGAGGAGUUAAAUCCUUUAGUAACGCAGCUAACGCGUGAAGUCAUCCGCCUGGGGAGUACGGUCGCAAGAUUA
RNAcentral lists this ribosomal RNA (372 nucleotides) under uncultured organism. Its description in RNAcentral is "bacterial SSU rRNA". It matches the Rfam family "Bacterial small subunit ribosomal RNA", at positions 526 to 896 of the family's 1533-position model. The record is from RNAcentral.